GUGCUCGCUUCGGCAGCACAUAUACUAAAAUUGGAAUGAUACAGAGAAGAUUAGCAUGGCCCCUGCACAAGGAUGACAUGCAAAUUCAUGAAGCGUUCCAUAUUUUU
Pan troglodytes (chimpanzee) is the source of this 107-nucleotide small nuclear RNA. NCBI's taxonomy places the organism in Eukaryota, Metazoa, Chordata, Mammalia, Primates, Hominidae. The record is from Ensembl.